AAUAUUGCACAAUGGAGGGAACUCUGAUGCAGCAACGCCGCGUGAGUGAAGAAGGUUUUCGGAUCGUAAAACUCUGUCAUUGGGGAAGAAUAAAUGACGGUACCCAAUGAGGAAGCCCCGGCUAACUACGUGCCAGCAGCCGCGGUAAUACGUAGGGGGCGAGCGUUGUCCGGAAUUAUUGGGCGUAAAGCGCGCGCAGGCGGUCCUUUAAGUCUGAUGUGAAAUCACGUGGCUCAACCACGUGCGGUCAUUGGAAACUGGAGGACUUGAGUGCAGAAGAGGAAAGUGGAAUUCCAAGUGUAGCGGUGAAAUGCGUAGAGAUUUGGAGGAACACCAGUGGCGAAGGCGACUACCUGGACUGAUACUGACACUGAGGUGCGAAAGCGUGGGGAGCAAACA
RNAcentral lists this ribosomal RNA (399 nucleotides) under uncultured bacterium. RNAcentral's name for it is "partial 16S ribosomal RNA". It matches the Rfam family "Bacterial small subunit ribosomal RNA", at positions 360 to 774 of the family's 1533-position model. The record is from RNAcentral.